Molecule: transfer RNA, 72 nt
Filed under: Camelus bactrianus (Bactrian camel)
Lineage: Eukaryota; Metazoa; Chordata; Mammalia; Artiodactyla; Camelidae
Also listed under: 2 other names
Rfam family: tRNA
About the family: Transfer RNA (tRNA) molecules are approximately 80 nucleotides in length. Their secondary structure includes four short double-helical elements and three loops (D, anti-codon, and T loops).
Source: Rfam by way of RNAcentral
GAGGGUAUAGCUUAGUGGUAGAGUGCAUGCUUAACAUGCACAAGGUCCUGGGUUCAAUCCCCAGUACCUCCA